CCUACGGGUGGCAGCAGUGGGGAAUAUUGCACAAUGGGGGAAACCCUGAUGCAGCGACGCCGCGUGAGUGAUGAAGGUCUUCGGUACGUAAAGCUCUAUCAGCAGGGAAGAAAAUUCCGGUACCUAAUCAACAAUCCCUGGACAAUUACGUCCCAGCACCCGCGGUAAGACGGAGGGGGCAAGCGUUAUCCGGAUUUACUGGGUGUAACGGGAGCGUAGACGGCUAGACAAGUCAGGGGUGAAAACCCGCGGCUCAACGUCGGGAGUGCUUUUGAAACUGAUAGGCUGGAGUGCGGGAGAGGUGAGUGGAAUUCCUGGUGUAGCAGUGAAAUGCGUAGAUAUUAGGAGGAACACCAGUGGCGAAGGCGACUUACUGGAAUGUAACUGACGUUGAGGAGCGAAAGCGUGGGGAGCAAACAGGAUUAGAUACCCGAGUAGUC
RNAcentral lists this ribosomal RNA (440 nucleotides) under uncultured bacterium. RNAcentral describes it as "partial 16S ribosomal RNA". It matches the Rfam family "Bacterial small subunit ribosomal RNA", at positions 338 to 795 of the family's 1533-position model. The record is from RNAcentral.